AACACGUGAAUUAAAUCAGCAGCUGAUUAUGGCGGCUGAACACCGGUCCAUCUAUACAACGAGAUGAUCUCUGGAGGCUUGCUGUAUAGGGUGACGGGAGAUCCAUCGGGCACAGCUCCGUGCCAAGGAAAAUAUUCAGCAUGAGCAUUCAUGGCAUAUCCCGGAGCGCACGUUUCGGGUGAUUGCUAUUUGCUCCGUAAGAGCUUAUAGGACUCUCGGCAAUGGAUAUCUUGGCUCUCGCAUCGAUGAAGAGCGCAGCGAAAUGCGAUACGUGGUGCGAAUUGCAGAAUCCCGUGAACCAUCGAGUUUUUGAACGCAAGUUGCGCCUGAGGCCAACUGGCCAAGGGCACGCCCGCCUGGGCGUCAAGCAUUGCAUCGCUCCAUUCGACACGCACCCUCGUUGUAAGGCGGCUGUGCGGUCUUGGAUGCGGAGAAUGGCCCGUCAUGCGCUGUUGCGUGGCGGGCUGAAGAGCGGGAUUAUUUUCUCUCGGCGAGAAUCGAUACAUGGGUGGGUUGGAAGCCCCAAUUUGAUCCUCAUCAUCGUAUGCCUGCCUUGAGAAAGCCUACAAGUCCCGGGCUAACCUAGCUCAAGUUGGAAGCAAAUUGAAAUGCGACCCCAGGAUGGGCGGGGUGACCCGCUGAGUUUAAGCAUAUCAAUAA
Molecule: ribosomal RNA, 660 nt
Filed under: Pterygodium hastatum
Lineage: Eukaryota; Viridiplantae; Streptophyta; Magnoliopsida; Asparagales; Orchidaceae
Description: eukaryotic LSU rRNA
Rfam family: 5.8S ribosomal RNA (bases 211-366)
Source: RNAcentral